Puntigrus tetrazona (Sumatra barb) is the source of this 323-nucleotide long non-coding RNA. RefSeq lists it as uncharacterized. Lineage: Eukaryota; Metazoa; Chordata; Actinopteri; Cypriniformes; Cyprinidae. The record is from RefSeq and is a predicted model, not a curated record. The transcript has 3 exons.
CGAAGUGAAUAAAAGAGAUAUCUGUGAUCGUCUUUGACAGCAUUGUGUCUCCACGUCGCCCUAUCCCAAAAGGAAACAGAUCUGUGAACUGCUGCUCAGGAAAGGCGCCAACGUCAAUGAGAAGAAUAAAGACUUCCUCACACCUCUGCAUCUGGCCGCUGAGAAGUCCCAUAACGACGUCAUUGAAGUGCUGGUGAAACACGAAGCGAAACUGGCUAUAAUAAUCUGGAGGUGGCUGAAUAUCUGCUGCAACACGGGACAAAGGUGAACUCUCAGGAUAAAGGUGGUCUCAUUCCUCUCCAUAAUGCUGCAUCUUAUGGGGU